This 450-nucleotide ribosomal RNA is filed under the name uncultured bacterium. RNAcentral's name for it is "partial 16S ribosomal RNA". It matches the Rfam family "Bacterial small subunit ribosomal RNA", at positions 354 to 796 of the family's 1533-position model. The record is from RNAcentral.
GUGGGGAAUAUUGGACAAUGGGCGAAAGCCUGAUCCAGCCAUGCCGCGUGUGUGAAGAAGGUCUUCGGAUUGUAAAGCACUUUAAGUUGGGAGGAAGGGCAUUAACCUAAUACGUUAGUGUUUUGACGUUACCGACAGAAUAAGCACCGGCUAACUUCGUGCCAGCAGCCGCGGUAAUACGAAGGGUGCAAGCGUUAAUCGGAAUUACUGGGCGUAAAGCGCGCGUAGGUGGUUCGUUAAGUUGGAUGUGAAAGACCCGGGCUCAACCUGGGAACUGCAUCCAAAACUGGCGAGCUAGAGUACGGUAGAGGGUGGUGGAAUUUCCUGUGUAGCGGUGAAAUGCGUAGAUAUAGGAAGGAACACCAGUGGCGAAGGCGACCACCUGGACUGAUACUGACACUGAGGUGCGAAAGCGUGGGGAGCAAACAGGAUUAGAAACCCUUGUAGUCC